This 185-nucleotide non-coding RNA is filed under the name Desulfobacula toluolica. RNAcentral also lists the same sequence under 1 other name. Lineage: Bacteria; Pseudomonadati; Thermodesulfobacteriota; Desulfobacteria; Desulfobacterales; Desulfobacteraceae. The record is from RNAcentral.
AAUAUUUUUUCCCGUUCAGGUGCUUAAAGCAUUUAGCACAAUAGGGAACCACGUUGAAAUCGUGGACGGGCCCACCGCUGUAAUCGGGGACGAACGCUGCAGUAUACCACUGACCAAAUGGUUGGGAAGGUGUGGCGCAAGAUUGAUCCGUUAGUCAGAAGACCUGCCUGAACAUAGAGGGUAUA